RNAcentral lists this ribosomal RNA (516 nucleotides) under uncultured bacterium. Its description in RNAcentral is "partial 16S ribosomal RNA". It matches the Rfam family "Bacterial small subunit ribosomal RNA", at positions 28 to 523 of the family's 1533-position model. The record is from RNAcentral.
GAUGAACGCUGGCGGCGUGCCUAAUACAUGCAAGUCGAACGCAUUGAGAGAAGUGCUUGCACUUUUCAAUUUGAGUGGCGGACGGGUGAGUAACACGUGGGCAACCUACCUGAUAGCGGGGGAUAACGAGUGGAAACAUUCGCUAAUACCGCAUAACAAUAGAGAAGGCAUCUUCUUUAUUUAAAAGGCGCUUUCAAGCGUCACUAUCAGAUGGGCCCGCGGUGCAUUAGUUAGUUGGUGGGGUGAAGGCCUACCAAGACGAUGAUGCAUAGCCGGGUUGAGAGACUGAUCGGCCACAUUGGGACUGAGACACGGCCCAAACUCCUACGGGAGGCUGCAGUAGGGAAUCUUCCACAAUGGACGAAAGUCUGAUGGAGCAACGCCGCGUGUGUGAUGAAGGCUUUCGGGUCGUAAAGCACUGUUGUAUGGGAAGAAAUGCUAGGCUAGGAAAUGAGCUUAGUUUGACGGUACCAUAUCAGAAAGGGACGGCUAAAUACGUGCCAGCCGCCGCAGUAA